Molecule: ribosomal RNA, 425 nt
Filed under: uncultured bacterium
Lineage: Bacteria
Description: partial 16S ribosomal RNA
Rfam family: Bacterial small subunit ribosomal RNA
Source: RNAcentral
GUGGGGAAUAUUGGACAAUGGGCGAAAGCCUGAUCCAGCCAUGCCGCGUGAGUGACGAAGGUCUUCGGAUUGUAAAGCUCUUUUGGCGGGGACGAUAAUGACGGUACCCGCAGAAUAAGCCCCGGCUAACUUCGUGCCAGCAGCCGCGGUAAUACGAAGGGGGCUAGCGUUGUUCGGAAUUACUGGGCGUAAAGCGCACGUAGGCGGACUUAUAAGUCAGGGGUGAAAUCCCGGGGCUCAACCUCGGAACUGCCUUUGAUACUGUAAGUCUCGAGACCGGAAGAGGUGAGUGGAAUUCCUAGUGUAGAGGUGAAAUUCGUAGAUAUUAGGAAGAACACCAGUGGCGAAGGCGGCUCACUGGUCCGGUUCUGACGCUGAGGUGCGAAAGCGUGGGGAGCAAACAGGAUUAGAUACCCCUGUAGUCC